UUUUGGACAAUGGGCGAAAGCCUGAUCCAGCAAUGCCGCGUGCAGGAAGAAGGCCUUCGGGUUGUAAACUGCUUUUGUACGCAACGAAACGGUCUGCCCUAAUACGGCGGGCUAAUGACGGUACCGUAAGAAUAAGCACCGGCUAACUACGUGCCAGCAGCCGCGGUAAUACGUAGGGUGCGAGCGUUAAUCGGAAUUACUGGGCGUAAAGCGUGCGCAGGCGGUUAUGUAAGACAGUUGUGAAGUCCCCGGGCUCAACCUGGGAAUUGCAUCUGUGACUGCAUAGCUAGAGUACGGUAGAGGGGGAUGGAAUUCCGCGUGUAGCAGUGAAAUGCGUAGAUAUGCGGAGGAACACCGAUGGCGAAGGCAAUCCCCUGGACCUGUACUGACGCUCAUGCACGAAA
This 404-nucleotide ribosomal RNA is filed under the name uncultured bacterium. RNAcentral describes it as "bacterial SSU rRNA". It matches the Rfam family "Bacterial small subunit ribosomal RNA", at positions 362 to 758 of the family's 1533-position model. The record is from RNAcentral.